Molecule: ribosomal RNA, 389 nt
Filed under: Ochromonas perlata
Lineage: Eukaryota; Chrysophyceae; Chromulinales; Chromulinaceae
Description: partial small subunit ribosomal RNA
Rfam family: Eukaryotic small subunit ribosomal RNA
Source: RNAcentral
GCUUGUCUCAAAGAUUAAGCCAUGCAUGUCUAAGUAUAAAUGUUAUACAGUGAAACUGCGAAUGGCUCAUUAAAACAGUUAUAGUUUAUUUGAUAAUCGAAUUUACAUGGAUAACCGUGGUAAUUCUAGAGCUAAUACAUGCAGCAAUCCCUGACUUAGGAAAGGGUGUACUUAUUAGAUGGAAACCAAUGAGGGGCAACCCUGUAUAUGGUGAUUCAUAAUAAUUUUCGGAUCGAUCUUUGAUCGAUGCAUCAUUCAAGUUUCUGCCCUAUCAGCUUUGGAUGGUAGGGUAUUGGCCUACCAUGGCUUUAACGGGUAACGGAGAAUUAGGGUUCGAUUCCGGAGAGGGAGCCUGAGAAAUGGCUACCACAUCCAAGGAAGGCAGCAGG